GGAUUAGAUACCCUGGUAGUCCACGCCGUAAACUAUCAAUACUCGUUUUCGGCGAUAUACAGUCGGAGACUAAGCGAAAGUGAUAAGUAUUGCACCUGGGGAGUACGAUCGCAAGGUUGAAACUCAAAGGAAUUGACGGGGGCCCGCACAAGCGGUGGAGCAUGUGGUUUAAUUCGAUGAUACGCGAGGAACCUUACCAGGGCUUAAAUGUAGAAGGAAUGAUGUGGAAACAUGUCAGCCUUCGGGCCUUCUACAAGGUGCUGCAUGGCUGUCGUCAGCUCGUGCCG
RNAcentral lists this ribosomal RNA (287 nucleotides) under uncultured bacterium. Its description in RNAcentral is "partial 16S ribosomal RNA". It matches the Rfam family "Bacterial small subunit ribosomal RNA", at positions 775 to 1067 of the family's 1533-position model. The record is from RNAcentral.